Molecule: transfer RNA, 76 nt
Filed under: Candidatus Riflebacteria bacterium RBG_13_59_9
Lineage: Bacteria; Candidatus Rifleibacteriota
Description: tRNA-Pro
Rfam family: tRNA
About the family: Transfer RNA (tRNA) molecules are approximately 80 nucleotides in length. Their secondary structure includes four short double-helical elements and three loops (D, anti-codon, and T loops). Further hydrogen bonds mediate the characteristic L-shaped molecular structure. tRNAs have two regions of fundamental functional importance: the anti-codon, which is responsible for specific mRNA codon recognition, and the 3' end, to which the tRNAs corresponding amino acid is attached (by aminoacyl-tRNA synthetases). tRNAs cope with the degeneracy of the genetic code in two manners: having more than one tRNA (with a specific anti-codon) for a particular amino acid; and 'wobble' base-pairing, i.e. permitting non-standard base-pairing at the 3rd anti-codon position.
Source: RNAcentral
CGGGGCGUGGCCCAGUCCGGUCUAGGGCGCAAGUCUGGGGGACUUGAGAUCGCGAGUUCAAAUCUCGCCGCCCCGA